CGCCUCUUGACCACUAUAAGAGGUCUAGCCUGCCCAGUGACCAAUUUAACGGCCGCGGUACCCUAACCGUGCGAAGGUAGCAUAAUCACUUGUUUCCUAAAUAGAGACUAGCAUCAACGGCAUCACGAAGACUAUACUGUCUUCCCCCUAAAAUCAAUGAAACUAAUCCCCUCGUGAAGAAGCGAGGAUAAAAAUAUAAGACGAGAAGACCCCAUGGAGCUUUAAACGAACUUUAAUUGCUCUUAAUCUUACCAUAAAAAACGAGCACUAAUAAAAGAUAGUUUUCGGUUGGGGUGACCACGGAGUAAAACAAAACCUCCACAGUGAAUGUAAUAAUACUAAUAGAAGAACUACAAUUCUAAUAAUCAAAAAAUUGACACACUUGACCCAAACACUUGAUCAAUGAACCAAGUUACCCUGGGGAUAACAGCGCAAUCCAUUUUAAGAGCCCCUAUCGACAAAUGGGUUUACGACCUCGAUGUUGGAUCAGGGUAUCCUAGUGGUGCAGCCGCUACUAACGGUUCGUUUGUUCAACGAUUAAAACCCU
This 547-nucleotide ribosomal RNA is filed under the name Leptopelis aubryi (Gaboon forest treefrog). Its description in RNAcentral is "partial 16S ribosomal RNA". It matches the Rfam family "Bacterial large subunit ribosomal RNA", at positions 1829 to 2597 of the family's 2925-position model. The record is from RNAcentral. Lineage: Eukaryota; Metazoa; Chordata; Amphibia; Anura; Arthroleptidae.